This 253-nucleotide ribosomal RNA is filed under the name uncultured bacterium. RNAcentral's name for it is "partial 16S ribosomal RNA". It matches the Rfam family "Bacterial small subunit ribosomal RNA", at positions 524 to 776 of the family's 1533-position model. The record is from RNAcentral.
UACGGGGGGUGCGAGCGUUGUCCGGAAUCACUGGGCGUAAAGGGCGCGUAGGUGGCUCUGUAAGUUUGCGGUGAAAGCCCGGGGCUCAACCCCGGGUCUGCCGUGGAUACUGCAAGGCUUGAGUACUGUAGAGGCAGGUAGAAUAUCGGGUGUAGCGGUGGAAUGCGUAGAGGUGCGAUAGAAGACCGGUGGCGAAGGCGGUCUGCUGGGAAGUUUCUGACGCUGAUGCGCGACAGCGUGGGGAGCAAACAGG